RNAcentral lists this ribosomal RNA (534 nucleotides) under uncultured archaeon. Its description in RNAcentral is "bacterial SSU rRNA". It matches the Rfam family "Archaeal small subunit ribosomal RNA", at positions 461 to 997 of the family's 1478-position model. The record is from RNAcentral.
GCCGCCGCGGUAACACCGGCAGCUCUAGUGGUAACAAUUUUAUUGGGCCUAAAGCGUCCGUAGCCGGUUUAAUAAGUCUCUGGUGAAAUCCUGUAGCUUAACUGUGGGAAUGCUGGAGAUACUAUUAGACUUGAGACCGGGAGAGGUUAGAGGUACUCCCAGGGUAGAGGUGAAAUUCUGUAAUCCUGGGAGGACCGCCUGUUGCGAAGGCGUCUAACUGGAACGGUUCUGACGGUGAGGGACGAAAGUUAGGGGCGCGAACCGGAUUAGAUACCCGGGUAGUCCUAACUGUAAACGAUGCGGACUUGGUGUUGGGUGGCUUUGAGCUGCUUCAGUGCCGAAGGGAAGCUGUUAAGUCCGCCGCCUGGGAAGUACGGUCGCAAGACUGAAACUUAAGGAAUUGGCGGGGGAGCACCACAACGCGUGGAGCCUGCCGGUUUAAUUGGAUUCAACGCCGGACAUCUCACCAGAGGCGACAGCUGUAUGAUAGCCAGGUUGAUGACUUUGCUUGACUAGCUGAGAAGAGGUGCAUGG